RNAcentral lists this transfer RNA (69 nucleotides) under Camelus bactrianus (Bactrian camel). It matches the Rfam family "tRNA". From Rfam's summary of the family: Transfer RNA (tRNA) molecules are approximately 80 nucleotides in length. Their secondary structure includes four short double-helical elements and three loops (D, anti-codon, and T loops). Further hydrogen bonds mediate the characteristic L-shaped molecular structure. tRNAs have two regions of fundamental functional importance: the anti-codon, which is responsible for specific mRNA codon recognition, and the 3' end, to which the tRNAs corresponding amino acid is attached (by aminoacyl-tRNA synthetases). tRNAs cope with the degeneracy of the genetic code in two manners: having more than one tRNA (with a specific anti-codon) for a particular amino acid; and 'wobble' base-pairing, i.e. permitting non-standard base-pairing at the 3rd anti-codon position. The record is from Rfam by way of RNAcentral. Lineage: Eukaryota; Metazoa; Chordata; Mammalia; Artiodactyla; Camelidae. RNAcentral also lists the same sequence under 2 other names.
GGAAUAGCUCAGUGAUAGAGCACAUGCUUAGCAUGCAUGAGGUCAUGGGUUCCAUCCCCAGUAUGUCCG